Molecule: long non-coding RNA, 2182 nt
Organism: Papaver somniferum (opium poppy)
Lineage: Eukaryota; Viridiplantae; Streptophyta; Magnoliopsida; Ranunculales; Papaveraceae
Exons: 4
Source: RefSeq, a predicted model, not a curated record
UGUAUUCUACUAGAGCGUUAAUGAGAAAUAAAAAAUUGGAAACGAGAAUAUAGGUUCAUUAUAAAUUUCACUGCUCUCCUCCAGAAUCUCAAUUUUACCACAAUCUUCUUCAGUGUAGAGAAGAUGACAGAUGAAAUUGAAUUCAUCGUUUCUAAUCUAAUUCGACUAACAUGGAAAAAUGAAAACGCACAUCAAGAUUUAACAGAAGCUCUUUUGUGAAAUCUUAGGAGACAUAGCAAAGAGAUUGAGUAUUUUUGUAAUCCUAAAAUUCUCCAUAGUGAAUAAGAACAAGAAGGGAGACCUUUGCUCCUCCAUCAGCCAUUAGAGGUUGUUGGAGAUGAUGUUACUCCUCGGCCAACUGCACCUGCAAUAAUAUCAACUCCGCUCCAAUUUCAUCCCAACCAAAUUUUUCCUGCAGCCACAUUAUGAAGGAAGUAUCCAACAACAAAGUCAAGGUUUAAACCAUGUUCAGAAAAUAUAAAGAUAGUCAGAGAAACUGAAAAAUGGAGUCAUGCCGAGCAAGAGGAAGAUACUUUGUGAAAGUGCACACAUUUUAGCAGAAGCAUGACUUCCUUAAACUGAUAAGGAAGUAGUGGACUAAUAUCCAGUUUUCUUUGUACGUCCCACGUCACUCAAUAAGGGUAAUCUCUUGCAAUUUAAUUCAAUAACGAUGACUAAAAAACUCAAAAAAGUCCCUAAGGUUAUCAAAGAAAAUGGCAUUUGUUGCAUCGGAUCAAAAAAGAUCAACAACUUACAAGGAUGUUACGCAGUUCAAUAUAAGAUGGGGCGAUUGUACUUUGAACUCCUGUUAUUUGUGGACAGAGUAGAGUUUAAAAUUUUCACCUAUAAUUUUGACUUUGUAGUCGUUCAUGUACGUGUUGAGACAGGUAUACCGCUUUACAUUCUUUAUUUGUUUAAAUUUUGAGUAUGUCAAAAUGGUUUAUGAAAUGCUGCAUAUUUGUUUAUGUCUGAUAUACAUACUUAAGCAUAAAUGAACUUAAACGCGGUGAACAUAUCAUGCCUGGACUCCUAAAAAAACCACAUGUGUGGCUAAGUUUUGGUUUAGAUGAUUAACCGUACACGAACUUUAUCUCUGUGGUUCUCUAGAAAUCCAUUUUUUUAGUAUCAUCACUAUAUAAACGUGGUUUCUUUUAGCUGAACACUAAAAUCAAACUAUCGUCAUAGUAUAUGUUGUUGGUAUUUUGUGUAUGAAAACAUCUUUUACUAUAAAUGUUUGUCAUUUAAUUUUGAAUGUCGCUAGAUAUGGCCAUUCAUUUAUUGCUUCGGAGACACUAUGUCAUUCUUUACUUUUCGUGAUGAAUAGUUAAGAUUCGUGGAAGAUGCCAUGUGAGAUUUGCCAUUUUAGUCAUUAUUUAUACUAUAUUAACUCAUAAGUAACCAACCAUAAAUAGACUAGGUUGUAUAAUGUAGAGAGUAGUGGAGAAGAUCCACAAACCAAUGAUAUGAUAAGGAGGUCAAGAUGAGAUGUAUCGAGUUGUUCGGGUCUCCCUAUCUCCAAGUAUCUAUGUCUCAAACAUACAGUAAAAAGUGUACUAGAAAAAUCUUUCGUUCUUCUUUUCUUCUAUAAAAUGUUGUCCAUUACACAUAAUAAGUUUGACGUACACAUUAUACCGUAAAACAAAACUUUACCGAUUUUCAGCUAUUGGUCAGGUAGAUCAGUUCAUGAACAAAAUUUUACCGAUUUUCAGUUAUUGGUCAGGUAAAUUAGUUCAUGUGCACAUUAUUAGCAUACUUAAUUCAAUAUUAAUUAUUUCUAAAUUUAUUUGCUCUUCUUAUUCUGUGGUAGGUUUGACGGCUCACCAUUUGGCCAAGUUUUCCCCAUCUUAGACUCAAUAUUAACACUUCAAUUGGUAGGGUACCUAACUUUCAGAAUGAGCUUAGAAAAAACUUACACAACCAGUUUCAAGCAUCAACAACAAGUCAUCAUCUCACAAAGACCUUGGAAUUAUAAUGAAAUAACCAUUUAAAGGGAAUAGGAAGCCACUAUGAAUGAUAACAAUAUGAGUUACUCUGAAGUUAUUAUUUUUUGCAGCUUGAAAGAUUUCAUUCCACAUUAUCAAGCUCAACCAUGAUCGUGAAGUUUAUUGGCAGAGCAACUGAUGGAAAUGUACAGGUUGUAUAUACAGUUUGGAAUUUUAGUUACUCAUAAAAAUCGGGAGCA